Molecule: ribosomal RNA, 489 nt
Filed under: Pseudomonas thivervalensis
Lineage: Bacteria; Pseudomonadati; Pseudomonadota; Gammaproteobacteria; Pseudomonadales; Pseudomonadaceae
Description: bacterial SSU rRNA
Rfam family: Bacterial small subunit ribosomal RNA
Source: RNAcentral
UCAGAUUGAACGCUGGCGGCAGGCCUAACACAUGCAAGUCGAGCGGUAGAGAGGUGCUUGCACCUCUUGAGAGCGGCGGACGGGUGAGUAAUGCCUAGGAAUCUGCCUGGUAGUGGGGGAUAACGCUCGGAAACGGACGCUAAUACCGCAUACGUCCUACGGGAGAAAGCAGGGGACCUUCGGGCCUUGCGCUAUCAGAUGAGCCUAGGUCGGAUUAGCUAGUUGGUGAGGUAAUGGCUCACCAAGGCGACGAUCCGUAACUGGUCUGAGAGGAUGAUCAGUCACACUGGAACUGAGACACGGUCCAGACUCCUACGGGAGGCAGCAGUGGGGAAUAUUGGACAAUGGGCGAAAGCCUGAUCCAGCCAUGCCGCGUGUGUGAAGAAGGUCUUCGGAUUGUAAAGCACUUUAAGUUGGGAGGAAGGGCAGUUACCUAAUACGUAAUUGUUUUGACGUUACCGACAGAAUAAGCACCGGCUAACUCUGUGC